GGUCCACCUGUUGGGUCCAGCGCCGGGUGGGUCCCCUCGGUCCUGCCCGUGCCAGCAAGUCCGAGGCCCAGAGUCAGAUCCUUGAGUGCUGACGGCUGGAUUGAGCUCCGCCCGGAUGGCAGGCAUAGUGGGAGACGCCAGUAGAUCCUGGGGGAGCCCAGACAGAGCCUGUUCCCCACCGGACUCCAGCCCUCCCCUGUCCAAGAAACCCUCCCAGUCCCGGGUGCCUGGAGACACCGGUGUGAAUCGGCAUCUGGGAAGGGUCUGUCCGGCCGCCCCCCCCCCGGCCACCCGUGUGACUCGGAGAGAAGGCCUGGGGGGACCAGCGCGGGGGAGGGAGGGCAGGCACCGGGCAAUCCUUCGCUAGCUGUCCGUGGAAUGCCAACUUCAGGGAUGCAGAGAUGAGUGGCUCUGUGCUAGCUGGCUUUGGACAACGCGACACCUCUGGGAAGAGGGACUGUAGCGUGAGAAAACGUCUCUAUAGCGUGUGCCUGCCAUGACUGAUGGAUGUGGGACAGCCCAGAGGAGGUAAGUAGGCAUGGUGUUGGGGUGCGGGGAAGGGAGCGGGCAAGGGAUGAGGGAGUGGCGAGUUGUGGCCAGGGGCCUUCCCACCCCGGGGCAGGCAAUCCUGAGCUGUGUAGGACAGCUGGCUGAGCAAGCCGGUAGGGAGCACUCUCCCACAGACACCUGCUACAGCAGUUCCUGCCUCCGGGAUCCCACCCUGGCUUCCCUCUGGGGAGGGACUUGGGAGCCCUAGGGUGAAACGAACGCUUCUCCGCCCAAGUGGCUUUGGGUCACGGUGUUUGAUCGCAAUAAUACAAACCCUAACUCCGGAGGAACCUGGUUCCUGGAGUGGAGUCUUGCUGUGACAGACCCCAUCACCUGGCCUUCCCCAGGACUGGGAAAGGCCCUUGAACUGUGGGCAGGCGGGCAAAGCAGCUGACUGCUCCAAGCUGCCUGUGCUCCUCUAGGGCAGCUUGGAAGGGAAUGUCAGCUCCACUGGAGCUGAGAAGCCAGCGGUGAUUAAGAAGACAGCAGCGUCCCCGCGCAGAGGUGAAACCUCCCCACCCCCCUACCCUGGGGGGGGGGCGGCUUCCUGAAGAUUAGCAUGCAGAGGCUGAACCCCAUGCCAGCCAGCCAAAUUGAAAACGAGUAGGACUCGCUUAUGUGGUGAUGGCAUUGAAGGUGUGGAAGGAUGGAUCCCAGAGAGCAGCGGAGGCUGGGGGUGGGCGGUGGCUCUGGAGUGCCCAGGGAGAGGCUGAGAGGGGACAUGAGCAAAGGUGCAGCCUCUGGUGAACCCCACUGCGACCGGAAGGGGUGGAACGUGGGGACCAGCCGAGGUCUGGCAUUUCCACAUGGCAUGCUCAGAGAGCCCCCGAAGAGAGCCCAGCAGAGGCAGGCGGUCGCCGGCGAAGGCGGGGGUCUUGGAGAGGCGGGUACCCCGGACAACUACCAAAGGGGAGCAGCUGCCUCAGAGUGGAGCCCAUCUUGGCCUGGGAGAGCAGCUGCAGGAUAAUGAUCGUGCCCGGAUUCUUUCUUCUCCGUGCACAAGUGCCUUUAACUUCAAACAAAACAAAACAAGG
Peromyscus maniculatus bairdii (prairie deer mouse) is the source of this 1583-nucleotide non-coding RNA. Lineage: Eukaryota; Metazoa; Chordata; Mammalia; Rodentia; Cricetidae. The record is from RefSeq and is a predicted model, not a curated record.